GAUGAACGCUGGCGGCGUGCUUAACACAUGCAAGUCGAACGAAGCACCUUAUUCUGAUUUCUUCGGAAUGAAAAAUUUGGUGACUGAGUGGCGUACGUGUGAGUAACGCGUGGGUAACCUGCCUCAUACAGGGGGCUAACAGUUAGACAUGCCUGCGAAUCCCGCAGCAGACCACAGCACCGCAUGGUGCAGGGGUAAAAACUCCGGUGGUAUGAGAUGGACCCGCGGCUGAUUAGGUAGUUGGUGGGGUAACGGCCUACCAAGCCGACGAUCAGUAGCCGACCUGGGAGGGUGACCGGCCACAUUGGGACUGAGACACUGCCCAAACUCCUACGGGAGGCAGCAGUGGGGAAUAUUGCACAAUGGGGGAAACCCUGAUGCAGCGACGCCGCGUGAGCGAUGAAGUAUUUCGGUAUGUAAAGCUCUAUCAGCAGGGAAGAAAAUGACGGUACCUGACUAAGGAGCACCGGCUAAAUACGUGCCAGCCGCCGCGGUAA
Molecule: ribosomal RNA, 497 nt
Filed under: uncultured bacterium
Lineage: Bacteria
Description: partial 16S ribosomal RNA
Rfam family: Bacterial small subunit ribosomal RNA
Source: RNAcentral